RNAcentral lists this ribosomal RNA (254 nucleotides) under uncultured bacterium. RNAcentral describes it as "partial 16S ribosomal RNA". It matches the Rfam family "Bacterial small subunit ribosomal RNA", at positions 524 to 776 of the family's 1533-position model. The record is from RNAcentral.
UACGUAGGUGGCAAGCGUUGUCCGGAUUUACUGGGCGUAAAGGAUGCGUAGGCGGACAUUUAAGUCAGAUGUGAAAUACCCGAGCUUAACUUGGGUGCUGCAUUUGAAACUGGGUGUCUAGAGUGCAGGAGAGGUAAGUGGAAUUCCUAGUGUAGCGGUGAAAUGCGUAGAGAUUAGGAAGAACACCAGUGGCGAAGGCGACUUACUGGACUGUAAACUGACGCUGAGGCAUGAAAGCGUGGGGAGCAAACAGG